Molecule: ribosomal RNA, 468 nt
Filed under: uncultured bacterium
Lineage: Bacteria
Description: partial 16S ribosomal RNA
Rfam family: Bacterial small subunit ribosomal RNA
Source: RNAcentral
GACGAACGCUGGCGGCGUGCUUAACACAUGCAAGUCGAACGGAAAGGCCCUGCUCUUGUGUGGCUCUCGAGUGGCGAACGGGUGAGUAACACGUGAGUAACCUGCCCUUGACUUUGGGAUAACUUCAGGAAACUGGGGCUAAUAUCGGAUAGGAGCUCCUGCUGCAUGGGGGGGGAUGGAAAGUUUCGGCGGUUGGGGCUGGACUCGCGGCUUCUCAGCUAGUUGGUGUGGGAGGGGCGGACCAAGGCUUUGAAGGGUAGCCGGCCUGAGAGGGUGACCGGCCACAUGGGGACUACGGUACGGCCCAGACGCCUACGUGAGGCAGCAGGGGGGAAUAUUGCACAAUGGGCGGACGCCUGAUGUAGCAACGCCGCGUGCGGGAUGACGGCCUUCGGGUUGUAAACCGCUUUCGCCUUUGACGAAGCGUGAGUGACGGUAAUGGGUAAAGAAGCACCGGCUAACUACGUG